RNAcentral lists this long non-coding RNA (268 nucleotides) under Panax ginseng (ginseng). RNAcentral's name for it is "long non-coding RNA (PGIN_LNC013104)". The record is from RNAcentral. Lineage: Eukaryota; Viridiplantae; Streptophyta; Magnoliopsida; Apiales; Araliaceae.
GUGGCUGGAGGAAUUGGGUACUGGGUACUUGUAGUGGACUGGUUAAGUGGAUCAGCUUGUUCUUCGCUGCACUUGGCUUCACUGGACUGAUGGAUAUUUGAUGAAACCACGUUCGCUAUGUGAUUUGUGGUUGCUUUCUCUUCUGCUUCAUUUGAUUUCAUCCCAUUAGAACAACAGUUGUUUUCAGAUUUUCCCACCUGCGGAUGGCCUGCACUCAAGUCAUUCAGGUUUUCUUGUGGAAAUUUACUUGAACUGCUUCCAGUAUCAC